GAUGAACGCUGACAGAAUGCUUAACACAUGCAAGUCAACUUGAACUUCGGUUUGGGUGGCGGACGGGUGAGUAACGCGUAAAGAACUUGCCUCACAGAUAGGGACGACAUUUGGAAACGAAUGCUAAUACCUGAUAUUAUGAUUUUAGGGCAUCCUAGGAUUAUGAAAGCUAUAUGCGCUGUGAGAGAGCUUUGCGUCCCAUUAGCUAGUUGGAGAGGUAACGGCUCACCAAGGCGAUGAUGGGUAGCCGGCCUGAGAGGGUGAUCGGCCACAAGGGGACUGAGACACGGCCCUUACUCCUACGGGAGGCAGCAGUGGGGAAUAUUGGACAAUGGACCAAGAGUCUGAUCCAGCAAUUCUGUGUGCACGAUGAAGUUUUUCGGAAUGUAAAGUGCUUUCAGUUGGGAAGAAAAAAAUGACGGUACCAACAGAAGAAGUGACGGCUAAAUACGUG
This 454-nucleotide ribosomal RNA is filed under the name uncultured bacterium. RNAcentral describes it as "partial 16S ribosomal RNA". It matches the Rfam family "Bacterial small subunit ribosomal RNA", at positions 28 to 507 of the family's 1533-position model. The record is from RNAcentral.